GCACAGAAGUUGUCUCUCUCUCUCUCUCUCUCUCUCUCUCUCUCUCUCACACACACACACACACACAGAGAGAGAGAGAGAGAGAGAGAGAGAGAGAGAGUCUGAUGACAGAG
Non-coding RNA from Podarcis lilfordi (Lilford's wall lizard), 113 nucleotides. The record is from the annotation of a GenBank genome assembly. Lineage: Eukaryota; Metazoa; Chordata; Lepidosauria; Squamata; Lacertidae.